This 468-nucleotide ribosomal RNA is filed under the name uncultured bacterium. RNAcentral describes it as "partial 16S ribosomal RNA". It matches the Rfam family "Bacterial small subunit ribosomal RNA", at positions 28 to 507 of the family's 1533-position model. The record is from RNAcentral.
GACGAACGCUGGCGGCGUGCUUAACACAUGCAAGUCGAACGGAAAGGCCCUGCUUUUGUGGGGUGCUCGAGUGGCGAACGGGUGAGUAACACGUGAGUAACCUGCCCUUGACUUUGGGAUAACUUCAGGAAACUGGGGCUAAUACCGGAUAGGAGCUCCUGCUGCAUGGUGGGGGUUGGAAAGUUUCGGCGGUUGGGGAUGGACUCGCGGCUUAUCAGCUUGUUGGUGGGGUAGUGGCUUACCAAGGCUUUGACGGGUAGCCGGCCUGAGAGGGUGACCGGCCACAUUGGAACUGAGAUACGGACCAGACUCCUACGGGAGGCAGCAGUGGGGAAUAUUGCACAAUGGGCGGAAGCCUGAUGCAGCAACGCCGCGUGCGGGAUGACGGCCUUCGGGUUGUAAACCGCUUUCGCCUGUGACGAAGCGUGAGUGACGGUAAUGGGUAAAGAAGCACCGGCUAACUACGUG